Long non-coding RNA from Pan troglodytes (chimpanzee), 208 nucleotides. RefSeq lists it as uncharacterized. NCBI's taxonomy places the organism in Eukaryota, Metazoa, Chordata, Mammalia, Primates, Hominidae. The transcript has 3 exons. The record is from RefSeq and is a predicted model, not a curated record.
GAGAACUGGAGUAGAGAAGGAGAAGCCAACGGCAAAUUCCGGGCAGGAAGUCGACCUACCCUUGCCUCUGGCCAGGUCGCAGGAAACUAAGUAUAUGCUUUUCAGUGUCAAUCAUCAGACAGAUCCCAAAUACUUUGGAGAGAGGCAAUAAGCCUAUCCCCAGGAUAUGAAUUAUUAUUGGGAUACACCAAACAUGACAAUCUCAUUU